RNAcentral lists this long non-coding RNA (221 nucleotides) under Lathyrus oleraceus (garden pea). RNAcentral's name for it is "Pisum sativum (pea) long non-coding RNA (PSAT_LNC028290)". The record is from RNAcentral. Lineage: Eukaryota; Viridiplantae; Streptophyta; Magnoliopsida; Fabales; Fabaceae.
AAAUACCACACACGUAAAUAAUUCUGAAACUGACUCAUCUUCUUUCAUUUGAGUCAUCUCAAACUGUUUUCUCAGCGUUUGUAACUUCACCCUCUUCAACUUUUCAUCUCUGCCGUACGAGUUAUUUAACUUGCCCCACACUCUUUUUGUUAUUUCUUCUUCAAUGAUCUUCUCAAACACAUUAGAAUCUACACAUUGAUGGAUUAAGAACAUAAAUUUUC